AGCCCGUGAAUCCGGGCCAGCGAAUUCAAGAUCGAUCGGCGAGAUUUAUCGCGUCGGUCAGUUUGAUUUUUCGCUGGUCGCUUGAAUCGGACGUUGCGACCCGUUUGACGUUGGAGUUGUCGUCUGGCUCUCGGGUUAGACGGCGCAAGAGACGAAGCGAAGUUCUCGCGUAUUCCAUCUUCGGGUGGCGGUAUGUGAGAGGCUCGUUUUCGAACCGACUUGUUCGACGGUAUAAAAAUGGUGUCCGCAGAUUUUUUCUCGGUACCGGUCUGCAA
RNAcentral lists this ribosomal RNA (275 nucleotides) under Drosicha mangiferae. RNAcentral's name for it is "partial 28S ribosomal RNA". Lineage: Eukaryota; Metazoa; Arthropoda; Insecta; Hemiptera; Monophlebidae. The record is from RNAcentral.